UAAUAUUGACACAUGCAUAAGGGAAACUAAGCUGUUUUUAGCAAUCCAACCAUGAAUUGAUUUACUAUGGCUUCUUGGGAAAUCAACCCUGACUGCUCUUUGGAAGGAUAAAUACUGAAACUGAAGCUCAAAUAUUUUAGCCACCAAAUAAGAAGAAAGGAUUCAUUGGGAAGGACUGUGAUGUUGGGAAAGAUUGAAAGCAAAAGGAGAAGGGGACGGCAGAGGAUGAGAUGGUUAAAUCGUGUCAUUAAUGCAGUGAGCAUUGGGCAGACUCUGAGAGACAGUGGAGGAUGGGGGGGCAUCUAGCGUGCUGUGGUCCAUGGUCCAAGUCAGAAAUGACUUGGAGACUGAAGAAUAACAACAAAUGGCUUUUCACUCCAUAAUAUUGGCAGAACAAAAUAUGCAUUUAAAAUGUUCAACGAAAUGUGCAUUAAAAACAAGACUUCUUGCCUGGACCUAAAAACCAGCCAUAAUAAUAAGUAGCUGAAUUUUG
Pantherophis guttatus is the source of this 493-nucleotide long non-coding RNA. RefSeq lists it as uncharacterized. Lineage: Eukaryota; Metazoa; Chordata; Lepidosauria; Squamata; Colubridae. The record is from RefSeq and is a predicted model, not a curated record.